Molecule: ribosomal RNA, 1265 nt
Filed under: metagenome
Description: bacterial LSU rRNA
Rfam family: Bacterial large subunit ribosomal RNA
Source: RNAcentral
UGCCUGUACCAUAACCGACACAGGUGGGUAAGUAGAGUAUACUAAGGGGCGCGAGAUAACUCUCUCUAAGGAACUCGGCAAAAUAACUCCGUAACUUCGGGAGAAGGAGUGCCUUAUUCGUAAGGUUGCAAUAUCAAGAUCCAAGCAACUGUUUAUCAAAAACACAGGUCUCCGCUAAGUCGUAAGACGAUGUAUGGGGGCUGACGCCUGCCCAGUGCCAGAAGGUUAAAGAAGUCGGUUAGCAAUAGCAAAGCUGGUAACUGAAGCCCUGGUGAACGGCGGCCGUAACUAUAACGGUCCUAAGGUAGCGAAAUUCCUUGUCGGGUAAGUUCCGACCCGCACGAAAGGCGUAAUGAUUUGGAUGCUGUCUCGGAGAGGGGCUCGGUGAAAUAGACUUGUCUGUGAAGAUGCGGACUACCUGCACCAGGACAGAAAGACCCUAUGAAGCUUUACAGUAACUUGAAAUUGAAAUUGGACUUUAUUCGCGCAGUAUAGGUGGGAGGCGUUGAUUAUAAUCUUGUGGGAUUAUUGGAGCCAUCAGUGAGAUACCACUCUUGUAAUGUUAGAUUUCUAACUUUGAAUCAUUAUCUGGUCAAAGGACAGUUUCAGGCGGGCAGUUUGACUGGGGCGGUCGCCUCCUAAACGGUAACGGAGGCGUACAAAGGUUUCCUCUGAACGGUUAGAAAUCGUAUCUAGAGUGUAAAGGCAUAAGGAAGCUUGACUGUGAGACCUACAAGUCGAGCAGGGACGAAAGUCGGUCUUAGUGAUCUGACGGUACUGAGUGGAAAGGCCGUCACUCAACGGAUAAAAGUUACUCUAGGAUAACAGGCUGAUCUCCCCCAAGAGUUCACAUCGACGGGGAGGUUUGGCACCUCGAUGUCGGCUCAUCGCAUCCUGGGGCGGUAGUACGUCCCAAGGGUUGGGCUGUUCGCCCAUGAAAGCGGUACGCGAGCUGGGUUCAGAACGUCGUGAGACAGUUCGGUCCAUAUCCGGUGUAGGCGCUAGAAUAUUGAGAGGAGCCUUCUUUAGUACGAGAGGACCGAGAAGGACAUACCUCUGGUGUACCAGUUAUCGUGCCAACGGUAAACGCUGGGUAGCUAUGUAUGGAGUGGAUAACCGCUGAAAGCAUCUAAGUGGGAGGCCCACCUCAAGAUAAGUAUUCUCAUCACGUAAGUGAGUAAGGUCACGGUAAGACUAACCGUUUGAUAGGCAUUAAGUGUAAGUACAGUAAUGUAUGUGCUGAGAUGUCCUAAUAGACCGAGGAC